RNAcentral lists this ribosomal RNA (235 nucleotides) under Pseudomonas aeruginosa. RNAcentral's name for it is "partial 23S ribosomal RNA". It matches the Rfam family "Bacterial large subunit ribosomal RNA", at positions 2110 to 2344 of the family's 2925-position model. Lineage: Bacteria; Pseudomonadati; Pseudomonadota; Gammaproteobacteria; Pseudomonadales; Pseudomonadaceae. The record is from RNAcentral.
CUUUGCACUGGACUUUGAGCCUGCUUGUGUAGGAUAGGUGGGAGGCUUUGAAGCGUGGACGCCAGUUCGCGUGGAGCCAUCCUUGAAAUACCACCCUGGCAUGCUUGAGGUUCUAACUCUGGUCCGUAAUCCGGAUCGAGGACAGUGUAUGGUGGGCAGUUUGACUGGGGCGGUCUCCUCCUAAAGAGUAACGGAGGAGUACGAAGGUGCGCUCAGACCGGUCGGAAAUCGGUCG